CUUAAAUAUUUUAAUGUGAAUAUAUUUAGGGGCAAUAUCAGGAGUAUAAUUAAAAAGUGUUAGUUGCUUAGUCAUGUUGACUCUGUGACCCCAUGGACUAUAGCCUGCCAGGUUCCUCUGUCCAUGGAAUUCUUCAGAGAAUACUGGAGUAGGUUGCCAUUUCCAACCAUGAAUCUUGACUGGGGACAGCUAUACCCUUUGGACAGAAGUAACUGCUUUCAUCAACUGAGUGAAGAUCACUGGUCUUCGCAGCUUUCUCGUCCUAGCACAGGAGACCAUCGAGGGUGCGUGCAUUAAUCAACUGAGCAGAAGAUCUGGGAGGACAUCACUCAACGAAUCUUCAAGAUACUAUUACCAUGUGCUUGAUUCUAAUUUAAAUAAUUUGGAGUUCUUAUAAGAUUAGGAAGUUUUGAAAAGUAGAAUGUCGACACAAAGAGAGUGAAAAGAAAAUUUGGGGGAGCAUUUUACAAAAUGUUUCUUCUAAAGAACAACAUGCUUUUAUAGGCCUGAACUGAUUUAAAAAAACUUAUUAGAUAUAAAUGAGAAGCAUGUGCUUCUGGUGGUAUUAUACUCAAAGGAUUUUAGUUAAGUAAUGUCUAAACUUUCAGAGUAUUUGAAAUAUACCCAGUUGGACAGUUAAUGAACCCUCUUCAACUUAAAGUAGAGAACUGCUACAAGAGAAAAAAAUGCACAAAAAAAGUUAUGGAAGAGACAAAUGGAUAUUGAAAUCUUUUCCAGUGUUCCCAUUCCAAUGAUUUUUAGGAGUUAUAGUUAAAGAAGUACAGCUUUCCUUCCAUCCCUGAAAUUGGUUUCUUGCAUAACACAUUAUUUUGAAUGUCAGCAAUAAGCCCUUGAACUUCUUUAGACCAAAGACCAAGAUUGAGAAUAGAGUGAAUGCCUAUUUCAGUUCUAGAAACGAAGGCAUCGUAGUAUAAUAGAAGGCAAGUGAAAGAUAAAUACAUUUGUUUUUCCAUCUGCUAAGACAUAACUAAAACAUUCUUCCCAUUUUUUCCUUAAUAUUUUGUUUCCUGGCAACUAAUAACAAAAAUUCCCAAUCAACCACAUCUUUCACAAUUCUUGGUUCUUUAAAAAAAAGCAGCACUAAUACUGUUAGUUAGAUUUCUAAUAUAUAAAAUUAUUUUCAAAAAAGUACUAUAUAUUAAAAAGUUAUAUAUAUUAUAUACACAGGCAUACAUACAUAAAAUUAUAUGUGUAUGUAUAGU
RNAcentral lists this long non-coding RNA (1223 nucleotides) under Bos indicus x Bos taurus (hybrid cattle). RNAcentral describes it as "lncRNA (ENSBIXG00005023811.1)". The record is from RNAcentral. Lineage: Eukaryota; Metazoa; Chordata; Mammalia; Artiodactyla; Bovidae.